GACAGAGGGUGCAAACGUUGUUCGGAAUUACUGGGCGUAAAGCGCGUGUAGGCUGCUCGGAAAGUCGGAUGUGAAAGCCCUGGGCUCAACCUAGGAAGUGCAUUCGAAACUUCCGAGCUGGAGUACUGGAGAGGAAGGCGGAAUUCUCAGUGUAGAGGUGAAAUUCGUAGAUAUCGAGAGGAACACCGGUGGCGAAGGCGGCCUUCUGGACAGUCACUGACGCUGAGACGCGAAAGCGUGGGGAGCAAACAGG
This 253-nucleotide ribosomal RNA is filed under the name uncultured bacterium. RNAcentral's name for it is "partial 16S ribosomal RNA". It matches the Rfam family "Bacterial small subunit ribosomal RNA", at positions 524 to 776 of the family's 1533-position model. The record is from RNAcentral.